This 89-nucleotide transfer RNA is filed under the name Bacteroidales bacterium. RNAcentral's name for it is "tRNA-Ser". It matches the Rfam family "tRNA". From Rfam's summary of the family: Transfer RNA (tRNA) molecules are approximately 80 nucleotides in length. Their secondary structure includes four short double-helical elements and three loops (D, anti-codon, and T loops). Further hydrogen bonds mediate the characteristic L-shaped molecular structure. tRNAs have two regions of fundamental functional importance: the anti-codon, which is responsible for specific mRNA codon recognition, and the 3' end, to which the tRNAs corresponding amino acid is attached (by aminoacyl-tRNA synthetases). tRNAs cope with the degeneracy of the genetic code in two manners: having more than one tRNA (with a specific anti-codon) for a particular amino acid; and 'wobble' base-pairing, i.e. permitting non-standard base-pairing at the 3rd anti-codon position. The record is from RNAcentral. Lineage: Bacteria; Pseudomonadati; Bacteroidota; Bacteroidia; Bacteroidales.
GGAGAGGUGGGUGAGUGGCUGAAACCACCGGUUUGCUAAACCGACGUACUCUGAAAAGGGUACCGGGGGUUCGAAUCCCCCUCUCUCCG